RNAcentral lists this long non-coding RNA (830 nucleotides) under Homo sapiens (human). RNAcentral's name for it is "HSALNT0226264". The record is from RNAcentral. Lineage: Eukaryota; Metazoa; Chordata; Mammalia; Primates; Hominidae.
GGCGGUCCGGCCUGGCCGCGACUCUGCCCUUCUUUCCAGGUACGCCUUCGUCAGGCCCGUCAUCCUGCAGGGACUCACGGACAACUCGAGGUUCCGGGCCCUGUGCUCCCGCGACAGGUUGCUGGCUUCGUUUGGGGACAGAGUGGUCCGGCUGAGCACCGCCAACACCUACUCCUACCACAAAGUGGACUUGCCCUUCCAGGAGUAUGUGGAGCAGCUGCUGCACCCCCAGGACCCCACCUCCCUGGGCAAUGGUGAGGCAGCCCUAGGCGGCGGUAGGGGGUGGGGACGCUUGGAGUCUCCAGGUGCCAGGAUCCCUGUCCCCGCCGUCUCUGUUGGCAGACACCCUGUACUUCUUCGGGGACAACAACUUCACCGAGUGGGCCUCUCUCUUUCGGCACUACUCCCCACCCCCAUUUGGCCUGCUGGGAACCGCUCCAGCUUACAGCUUUGGAAUCGCAGGAGCUGGCUCGGGGGUGCCCUUCCACUGGCAUGGACCCGGGUACUCAGAAGUGAUCUACGGUCGUAAGGUGCUGUACUUCCCCGACCGCUGGUGGCAUGCUACGCUCAACCUUGACACCAGCGUCUUCAUCUCCACCUUCCUCGGCUAGCCAAAACAGCUGGCAGGACUGCCGGUCACACACCAGCACGUCCCACCUCGUGCUCACGGAUUUUAUUACACAGAUAGUGGCGGCAAUGGCCUCAGCCCAGCCCACCCUCACCUGCUUUUCCAGCCCACAAAGGGGGACGAUCACGGCCCAGCAAAAGCGAUGCUGAGAGGGGAAACAGUCCAGAGUCCAACAGCAGAACUUGGGGGAAGCGGUCGGGGU